This 495-nucleotide ribosomal RNA is filed under the name uncultured bacterium. Its description in RNAcentral is "partial 16S ribosomal RNA". It matches the Rfam family "Bacterial small subunit ribosomal RNA", at positions 28 to 507 of the family's 1533-position model. The record is from RNAcentral.
GACGAACGCUGGCGGCGUGCCUAAUACAUGCAAGUAGAACGCUGAAGGAGGAGCUUGCUUCUCUGGAUGAGUUGCGAACGGGUGAGUAACGCGUAGGUAACCUGCCUGGUAGCGGGGGAUAACUAUUGGAAACGAUAGCUAAUACCGCAUAAGAGUAGAUGUUGCAUGACAUUUGCUUAAAAGGUGCAAUUGCAUCACUACCAGAUGGACCUGCGUUGUAUUAGCUAGUUGGUGGGGUAACGGCUCACCAAGGCGACGAUACAUAGCCGACCUGAGAGGGUGAUCGGCCACACUGGGACUGAGACACGGCCCAGACUCCUACGGGAGGCAGCAGUAGGAAAUCUUCGGCAAUGGACGGAAGUCUGACCGAGCAACGCCGCGUGAGUGAAGAAGGUUUUCGGAUCGUAAAGCUCUGUUGUAAGAGAAGAACGAGUGUGAGAGUGGAAAGUUCACACUGUGACGGUAUCUUACCAGAAAGGGACGGCUAGCUACGUG